UACGUAGGGUGCAAGCGUUAAUCGGAAUUACUGGGCGUAAAGCGUGCGCAGGCGGUUGUGCAAGACAGAUGUGAAAUCCCCGGGCUUAACCUGGGAAUUGCAUUUGUGACUGCAAGGCUAGAAUCUGGCAGAGGGGGGUAGAAUUCCACGUGUAGCAGUGAAAUGCGUAGAGAUGUGGAGGAACACCGAUGGCGAAGGCAGCCCCCUGGGUCAAGAUUGACGCUCAUGCACGAAAGCGUGGGGAGCAAACAGG
This 253-nucleotide ribosomal RNA is filed under the name uncultured bacterium. RNAcentral's name for it is "partial 16S ribosomal RNA". It matches the Rfam family "Bacterial small subunit ribosomal RNA", at positions 524 to 776 of the family's 1533-position model. The record is from RNAcentral.